Molecule: long non-coding RNA, 1984 nt
Organism: Pleuronectes platessa (European plaice)
Lineage: Eukaryota; Metazoa; Chordata; Actinopteri; Pleuronectiformes; Pleuronectidae
Exons: 3
Source: RefSeq, a predicted model, not a curated record
UCAGCUCUGCAGCCUUACAUGGUGAGAUGCCAGGCAGCGCUGACCUCAGACCAGAACGAGAGGAAGACACAGACUGGAGGAUACAGAAAACCACAGCAGGCCAGAGAAAACACACAGUACAAUAGGAAUGAAUGUUCUUCCUAUUGUGCCUAUUUUUAGAGUUUUUCUUUUAGAUUGAUUCAUACAAACCACAGUCUCCUGGGACCAGUUAGGGGGCCGCCCACCCUUUGACGUCCCAGCACCACAACAAUCAGGAUAUACAUGUUCUUAUUUCCUGUUUGUCAGAAGAAGAUACAUCCAAAGGGAACACGCACAACUGGGCUUUGUUUUGUUUUGUCUCCCACAGAGCGAUGGUGCUCACAUCCUCGAACAUGUAGAAUAUGAUUAACUCCCAUGAAUGCUGGGGGUAGUGGAUCAGGGUUCCUCAAGUUCCUCCUGGUCAAGAUGUCUCUGAUUGGUCCAGGCAGCUGGACAUCCUGACCCGGGUGAGUCUGAGGCAGCAGGCCGCAGGAUGAGAGGCCUCGACCAGUCAGCCUCGGAGGAAACAUCAUCUGGAUUUGCUUCGUCAUCUCCCACUGCUCCCAAUAGAAAAUAACCCAAAUCUAACUCUACCAGUUUGGCUAAUGAACACUUCACAUGUUUUUUAAUCCACAAGGCCAGCACACCUCAUCUGUGUUGCUAAAAUAAAAGGCACCCGACCUACUAAAUAUGAAUCGCCACAAAUCCAACAAGCACAGUUGGCUCCGUCUGGACGUUUCCAAUCCAGGACACUUUGUGUUGGAGCUAAAAUGGCUGAUGUACCACAAUAGCCUGAAGUAAUCACAGCAGGCUUCUGUUGUCACAGUAAUCCACCGGAACACAUUCCUGGCAUGUGCAUCGUACUUCUGGAAAAAAGACAGAACGGUAUCAAACUAAUGCAGCAGAGCCUCCCGAAAUAAAACCUGCUCAAAUCUGCAGCACCUGAUCUGGGACCAUCCGCCGUCACGUCUCCAGAACCAUCACACAAAUCCAGCACCUCUGAAGGACCACGUUCCCCAGAGAUACCCGGCAACGAUCACUCAGAUCUGGAAUGCCCCGGGACACUCCGCCUCUAAAAAUAGCACAAAUCCAGCGCACCGGAUUUUUGGACACACUUGUCAUUCCUCUGAAAUUGGAAACCCAAUCCCCCAACGAUGAACUCAUCUGAACACAGAGCAGAGAGAUGUUCCUCGCUCUCGUUGAUUCUCCAGCUGACACAGACGAGGGCUUUAAACUGCAUCUCAAACUUCAUCUCUGAGACGUGACCUUUCCAUCGAUGUGUCUUAUUUGUCUGUGUCCAAUUGAUUUUCUAUAUUGUGAACCAGAAGAAAGCAAUGAGGGAGUAUUAGAGCCUCUUCAAGGGGAAAAGACAGAAAUCAUUCUCUCCAUUGAUACCAAUCACCUCAUCUCAUCGAGUCUGUAACACCACAGGAUAUUCUGAGCUCUUCAUUGUUGAGUCCUGUAAAAAAAACAUUUCUAAUUAAGAUGCUAUAGCGCAUGACGGCUACCUGCUGUUUGUUAAAGACCCUCAAACACCCUUAGACCCCCUAACAGCACUGCCUCUGCUAUAAUAAAUUGAUUCUAAGGCACUUAACCCAUCCUGAACAUGUCAGCCCGCUAAUGGACUGUUCCUCUGGCCCUUGGGCUGUAUCUGCAGUUAAACCCCCCCGCUCGAGGUGUGAUGUGAAUGCUGAACGGCCACUGUGUGAGUAAUGUGUCCAAGAAAAACUUCGAUUGGCUUUUUCAAUCCUGUAAACGAUUUGGCUAAAUAAUACAUUUAAUACGUGCCGUGUGGUUUUAUUAUUUUGAGUUUCAUCUUAUUCCGAGUUCACAUCAAUGUGUGAUUUGACUUUUUAGUUCCGACCAUGAUCCAUCCGCUAACAUGGAGGAGGCAGGGUUCAUGACAUGUAGUGCAGCUGUCUUCUAAUUCCAUGUAGGGAGAACUGCUGGUUCCCUUCCACCCGCA